Molecule: RNA transcript, 1995 nt
Organism: Musa acuminata AAA Group (dessert banana)
Lineage: Eukaryota; Viridiplantae; Streptophyta; Magnoliopsida; Zingiberales; Musaceae
Exons: 7
Source: RefSeq, a predicted model, not a curated record
ACCAACAUGGGGACUUUAUUCAGAUUUAGACCUUUUGAUUACAUCAAACUAAUAGCGGUGCUUCUCCUUUUUCCCUCUUUCUCCUGCAUAAAUUAUUCCUGGUUUCCUCUCUCUCUCUGUGGAGCGCUUUUCUCGGCACUCUUUGAAGAUCCUGCCACCUCACUGUCCCCAAUUCCUCUCUCUCUCUCUCUCAAGAACAGACGUAGUGUCGGACACGGUCGAGAAAUCGGGAUAGAGAGGGGACGGAGAAGUAAAGAUUCGUUCUUGACGAGGAGAAACAACAGGGAACAAAGAGGAGCGCUUUGGUGGCAUCUGGGGGUAAUGAUGGUGGCUCACGAGGAGAGUUUACUGAGCUGGGAAGAGGCUUUUGAUCCUCCGGCUCCUCUACUUUACUAGAAACCUCGCCUCUGAAGGAAAAAAAAAGGAUUUUUUAAAGAGGGAAAAGAGGAGGAGUGAGAGAGAUGGGAAUGGGGAUGGGAGCUCCUCAUUCUUAAAUGCCUCUCCUUUCUGAAGAAGGGAGUCAGUAUAAGGUUGAAAUAAAGGGAAAACAAGAUGGUGGAGCAGCGGUUCUUCUUCAACAAGGAUGCACUCGUCAUAAAGGGACCAAAGAAAUCGCAUGCUUUGAGGAUGUUUAUGUUAGCUGCUGUGAUGAUAUGUGGUGUCUAUAUUUGCUCAGUAUGUUUAACGCAAUUGGGGAUACAAAGCAGACCCAGAAAAUUGAAGAUGGAGAUAAUGGAAGCACCUUGCAAAAAUCCUGCCAUUCCAUAUUAUGAAAUCCCAUAUGUGCAUUAUCCAGAACCCAAUACUUAUAGCAGGGAUGAAUGUGCAUGUACACCAGUUCGGUUUUUUUCUAUUGUGUCCAUGCAGAGGUCUGGAAGUGGAUGGUUCGAGACUCUUUUGAAUAGCCAUGUUAACAUUAGUUCUAAUGGGGAGAUUUUCUCUUCCAAAGAAAGGAGAGGCAACAUAUCGGCAAUCAUAAGGGCAUUGGACAAAGUUUACAAUCUGGAUUGGUACAGCAGUGCUGCAAAAAAUGAUUGUACAGCUGCUGUUGGCUUGAAGUGGAUGCUUAAUCAGGGCCUUAUGGAGAAUCAUGUAAAGGUAGCCAAAUACUUCAGUCGAAGAGGGGUCUCUUUGAUUUUCCUGUUCAGAAGAAACUUGCUUCGUCGUUUGGUUUCACAACUCGCAAACGAUCAUGAUCGCAACACUAAGCAAUUAAAUGGGACUCAUAAAGCUCAUGUACAUUCAACAAACGAGGCCAACAUACUCGCGAGAUACAAGCCCAGGAUCAACACCUCAGAAUUGAUUUCAACUCUCAGGCACACACACAAGUUCAUCACCGAUGCCAUGGGGCACUUCAGGAACACCCGGCACAUUGUUCUGUACUACGAGGACCUUGUCCAGAAUCGAACUAAGCUGAUGGAUGUUCUGGAGUUCCUCAGAGUCCCUCCAAGGAAGCUGGUUAGUCGACAUGUAAAGAUACACACAAGACCACUGCCCAAGUUGGUCGAGAACUGGGAUGAUGUUUACAGAUCUCUUGAAGGAACGAAGUAUAGGAGCUUCUUGAAUGCCAAUUACGAUUUAUAGAUUGUUCUUCAUUUGAUCCUUGUUGUAGCUGGAUUCUCCAGGACACAGCCACAUUAAGCUAAAGUACUUACGGAGAUCUCAGGGCUUCCUUGGACCAGAAGCUGAUCCAACAAGCUCGGCCGAGUGGGAAGGGUCAACGGGCUGGUCUCAUGGGCUGCAUAAAAGACCAGUAUGGGAUGAUUAUGGGCUGAAUUAUGUCUUCGGCUAUUGGACCUUGAGAAUGGAUUAAUGGGCUGAUAUUUUCGGGUGGGCAAAUGGGCUGAGUGUUGGGUUAGCCAGCAGGAAUCAAUAAACGGAUGACCAUUUCAACGUAAUGAUUUCUGGUUUCCGGAAUCUACACCAAGGAGUUCCCUGUCUGGGAGCCACAGGCGAUCUGACUCGCAGUUCCUCCACUGCCUUACCGAGGCCAAA